Molecule: ribosomal RNA, 408 nt
Filed under: uncultured bacterium
Lineage: Bacteria
Description: bacterial SSU rRNA
Rfam family: Bacterial small subunit ribosomal RNA
Source: RNAcentral
ACGGGUGAGUAACGCGUGAGUAACCUGUCCCAGACAGGGGGAUAACGACUUGGAAACAGGUGCUAAUACCGCAUAAGACCACGGUAUCACAUGGUAGUGGGGGUAAAAAGGAGCAAUCCGGUUUGGGGUGGGCUCGCGUCCGAUUAGAUAGUUGGUGAGGUAACGGCCCCACCAAGUCGACGAUCGGUAGCCGACCUGAGAGGGUGAUCGGCCACAUUGGAACUGAGAGACGGUCCAAACUCCUACGGGAGGCAGCAGUGGGGAAUAUUGGGCAAUGGGCGAAAGCCCUGACCCAGCAACGCCGCGUGAGUGAAGAAGGCCUUCGGGUUGUAAAGCUCUGUUAUAGUUGACGAAGGAAGUGACGGUAGGCUAUAAGGAAGCCCCGGCUAACUACGUGCCAGCCGCGGC